GUGAGGAAUAUUGGUCAAUGGGCGGGAGCCUGAACCAGCCAAGUCGCGUGAAGGAAGAAGGAUCUAUGGUUCGUAAACUUCUUUUGCAGGGGAAUAAAGUGCAGGACGUGUCCUGUUUUGUAUGUACCCUGAGAAUAAGGAUCGGCUAACUCCGUGCCAGCAGCCGCGGUAAUACGGAGGAUCCGAGCGUUAUCCGGAUUUAUUGGGUUUAAAGGGUGCGUAGGUGGUUUGAUAAGUCAGCGGUGAAAGUUUGCAGCUUAACUGUAAAAAUGCCGUUGAAACUGUCGGACUUGAGUGUAAAUGAGGUAGGCGGAAUGCGUGGUGUAGCGGUGAAAUGCAUAGAUAUCACGCAGAACUCCGAUUGCGAAGGCAGCUUACUAAGCUACAACUGACACUGAAGCACGAAAGCGUGGGGAUCAAACAGGAUUAGAUACCCUGGUAUCC
RNAcentral lists this ribosomal RNA (444 nucleotides) under uncultured bacterium. RNAcentral's name for it is "partial 16S ribosomal RNA". It matches the Rfam family "Bacterial small subunit ribosomal RNA", at positions 354 to 795 of the family's 1533-position model. The record is from RNAcentral.